AUGGAGACGGUGCUACGUCAAGCUUUAAUUCGAUUCAAGCUGGCUGGCAUAGAGACGGACAUGAAGCAACUGGAUGCUUCAACAUGGAUUGCCCUGGCUUCAUACGAGCGAAUGGCGCUGCCAUAUCUCCAGGACAAAAAAAGCGGAGACUGGUGGGUGUACUAUGGCUUCAAUAGCGUUCCUACGGGGGUGGGAUACUUCCCAAAGUCAUUGUUCAGCUACCUGGCAAAUAAGGCAAACCAGUUGGCAUUUGGUGGUGCCGUGGUUGCCCAUAGGGCGGCUUCAACUCCUUCGAUGGGUAGCGGUUCCUUCCCUAAUGGUGGUCAAGGGCGCGCUGCUUCUUUCACUAACCUUGGUAUCAUUGACAAGGAGGGGAACACCAAGCCCAUCAUGGCAGACUUCCCCACGUUGGUUACUAAUAACAAAUGCCACUCUAUUACUCCUAUCAAUCAUGCUGCAUGCCUUUAUGGCGGUCCUGGAGGUUGUGUGAGAUAA
RNAcentral lists this ribosomal RNA (495 nucleotides) under Triticum aestivum (bread wheat). RNAcentral describes it as "partial small subunit ribosomal RNA". The record is from RNAcentral. Lineage: Eukaryota; Viridiplantae; Streptophyta; Magnoliopsida; Poales; Poaceae.